Otolemur garnettii (small-eared galago) is the source of this 107-nucleotide small nuclear RNA. The record is from Ensembl. Lineage: Eukaryota; Metazoa; Chordata; Mammalia; Primates; Galagidae.
GUGCUUGCUUCGGCAGCACAUAUACUAAAAUUGGAACGAUAUAGAGAAGAUUAGCAUGGCCCCUGCACAAGGAUGACACGAAAAUUCAUGAAGCAUUCCAUAUUUAA